This 301-nucleotide ribosomal RNA is filed under the name uncultured bacterium. Its description in RNAcentral is "partial 16S ribosomal RNA". It matches the Rfam family "Bacterial small subunit ribosomal RNA", at positions 509 to 808 of the family's 1533-position model. The record is from RNAcentral.
CAGUCGCCACGGUAAUACGGAGGGCGCGAGCGUUACCCGGAUUUACUGGGCGUAAAGGGCGUGUAGGCGGCCUGGGGCGUCCCAUGUGAAAGGCCACGGCUCAACCGUGGAGGAGCGUGGGAUACGCUCAGGCUAGAGGGUGGGAGAGGGUGGUGAAUUCCCGGAGUAGCGGUGAAAUGCGCAGAUACCGGGAGGAACGCCGAUGGCGAAGGCAGCCACCUGGUCCACUUCUGACGCUGAGGCGCGAAAGCGUGGGAAGCAAACCGGAUUAGAUACCCCGGUAGUCCCUGUCUCUUAUACA